RNAcentral lists this ribosomal RNA (381 nucleotides) under uncultured bacterium. RNAcentral's name for it is "bacterial SSU rRNA". It matches the Rfam family "Bacterial small subunit ribosomal RNA", at positions 30 to 409 of the family's 1533-position model. The record is from RNAcentral.
AUUGAACGCUGGCGGCAUGCCUUACACAUGCAAGUCGAACGGCAGCACGGGAGCAAUCCUGGUGGCGAGUGGCGAACGGGUGAGUAAUAUAUCGGAACGUGCCCAGUCGUGGGGGAUAACGUAGCGAAAGCUACGCUAAUACCGCAUACGAUCUAUGGAUGAAAGCGGGGGAUCGCAAGACCUCGCGCGAUUGGAGCGGCCGAUAUCAGAUUAGGUAGUUGGUGAGGUAAAGGACUCACCAAGCCGACGAUCUGUAGCUGGUCUGAGAGGACGACCAGCCACACUGGGACUGAGACACGGCCCAGACUCCUACGGGAGGCAGCAGUGGGGAAUUUUUGGACAAUGGGCGCAAGCCUGAUCCAGCAAUGCCGCGUGCAGGAU